RNAcentral lists this long non-coding RNA (1904 nucleotides) under Homo sapiens (human). RNAcentral describes it as "non-protein coding lnc-GFRA2-6:1". The record is from RNAcentral. Lineage: Eukaryota; Metazoa; Chordata; Mammalia; Primates; Hominidae.
GCAAUGCCAUAUAGUGAUAUCGAAAUAGCACAGUCUUUGUAGGCAGGCAGAUAGUCUGGAGCCUCACUGUAAUAUAGAUCAUUGAUUAAAUAAUGCCUGGUUUCUUCCCUAAAGGAUGGAGUAGGAGGAAAAAAAUGUUAUAAAAGGUGAAAAAGUGUGCCUUGGAACCAAAAUGAUAUGCACUUUGAGGUAAACACAUACCAGUUUCUUUGCUGUAGAAAUGGAUAAUAUCACCUCACAUGGCAAUGCAAAACAGAAUAGUGUGGUGAAGGUGGGUGAGAUUAUUUAUGCUUCUUCUUUUUUUUUUUUUUUUGAGGGAAUCAUUUCUUGAUGAAAAACAACACACAGAACUGGAAUCUGCAUCUUUCCAUUCAGAAAUUUUUUUUUUUACUCUUAUGCACAUACACGUGUGUAUGUUCUCAUACACAUGCACAUGUACAUACACAUGUACACACACAGUUUACCCAUGAAUACAAAUACAUUUGUGAUAUCUCAGUGUUGUUGUUAUUCACAUUAUCUAUACACAAAGCCGAGAACAGGAGGCUCUGAGUCCAUGAAACAGAUCAAGGUGGUUUGUACGCAUCUUAGGUUGUAUUCUGGACGUCUUCCCUGAGAUAUCCAGGAACUGUCCUGAGAUCGCUGGGUGGGUCUUGGUGAAGCCCCUUCUAGUCUUAAAGAUUUUGGCUGCAGGUGGAGAUGAUCUGAGCUUCUCAAACAUAAGAGCAUAGUAUCUGCCAGUGUUAAAGAGCAAAGGGGGCUCCCUGUCUGAUGUGCUAGAAACCAAUACUAUGACACCAGGUUUUUGAAAAAAGAAGUUUUUGUUCAAUGCCAAUUUCCAAGGAGAUAGGAGUCAAGCUCAACUCUGUCUCCGCUGACUGGCUUCAAGGCAAUAUUUAUGUCAGAAAAGAUUCAAGGGGUGGAUUUUGAGAUGGGUAGGUAAUUCCUGGAGGGAAGGGGGGGUCUCGACAGUCCUGGGACAUGCACAGUUAUUUCUUCAUCCUAACCCAUGGGUGGCUUCUGCAAAUUCGGGAGAGUUGGCAUGAAACAUGCAGUGGAAAUUCAGUCUGUGACACCAGCAAGCUCGUUCUGUGCAAACUCUAGUCAUGACUGAAAUGUUAAUCUCCUUGGGCAGCACCUUCACAGACACACCCAGGAACAAUACUUUGCAUCCUUCAACUUGAUUAAGUUGACAAUUAUUAUUAUUAUUAUCAUAUAGGUGGUUUGCUUUCUCGGGUUGUGUUUUGCCUGUGGGCUGGAAUGACAGGCAUCUUGUCCCUUCUCAGCAAAGCUUUGAAACCCUCCCAACCCAGAGGGGCCCCAGGGAAGUGGCACUUUUUGCUUUCAUCUCAGAGAGGUGAGAGGCAGGCACAGUUCCAAUCCCAGGAGGCACUGGGGCUGGAGACGGGGGAUGGAUUUCUUCUAGUUUUUGUUGUUGUUUUAAUUUCCAAAUGCAUUUCUCCAAGGGUUGGGGGAGGCUGCGGAGCGCGGGGAAGUCUGAGCACCCAGGAGCCUGUGUGGCUGUGAUUAGAUGGCUUAGGCCCAGCAGCAGCAGCUGUUAAUCCUGACUAUUAAUUAGAAGAUAUGGGGAGAGAAUACCAGCCUGCGAGCUCAGUUAAGCCUGAGCAGCACUCUGCCUUCUUCUGCAGCGUAAUCCCCUUUGAGACUUGGGAAAGCGUGGGCCCCAAGAGAAGAACCAGGAGGGUCGGUAUAGGCAGAUACCUGCCAUCAAAGGCCCAGAUGUCUCUGCUCCCAGAAGUUGCCAGCUCUUCCGUAGGGACAGUACUUUACAGUCUCCUAAACCCAUUCAAAUGUGCUUCAAAGGUACCUGUCUUUAUUCCUAUUUGGAAGGCCAGUAGGGAAGCCUUGGAGAGCCUGUGGGAAAUGCAACAAUGAGUGUAGCGGUC